This is a long non-coding RNA of Corythoichthys intestinalis (scribbled pipefish), 1319 nucleotides long. RefSeq lists it as uncharacterized. The transcript has 3 exons. The record is from RefSeq and is a predicted model, not a curated record. Lineage: Eukaryota; Metazoa; Chordata; Actinopteri; Syngnathiformes; Syngnathidae.
AUAAACAGGAAGUGGCGAGAGUGAGGGCCAAGCCAAAAGUGGAAAGAUAAGAUUUGUGUGAGUUAUGUGCGUGUGUGUGCCUGUCCGGCCUGAGUCCACUUGCACCCGUCAAGAGUCAGGUCAGGCUCCGAAGCUCAUGGGAUUAACAUUUCAUUGUUGCUGCCUGGUGUCUCCGACACGUCCUUGGUGACAUCAUCACUCAGGAGCACAUGAUUCAUCUCACUUCACCGCUUAACUGAAUUCAAGAGCUAUUAUGGACCACCUCUAAUCUGAAGAAUGAAUAAAGUAGUCUUAUCAGAGUUCUAUUUUACCCUGGCAGAUCUUACCACCAGCCGUCAUCUGCUUCUGGAAAAAUACACUUGUACUUGAGCCACAGAAAAUCCCCACUGAGAUAACCUUAUCAUAAGAUAUGUUAUCCGUCACUCUGAUGAUGUCAUGUGUUUUCAGUGCAGCUAUAAAUACAACGGCCAUAAACAUUCCAGAAGGCAAUGCCUACAUACUACACGCUACAAAUCGCUAGACGUGAGGAAAAACAGGAUCUGGGAAUAUCAGCCUCAGCAUCUGCUCCAACUACAAAACCAGCCUCUAAAAGCACAACAAAGUGGCUCUGCAGGCAUAAAUAAAGGCGGGAGGGGCACCGGAAAGAAGAGGAGGCAACAUAGGAAAGAAAAACGAGGCGCAAGGGUGUGUCCCCGCUUGUUUUAUUUGCCUUAAGCAUUUUGGAUCAUUUAUUUUGUGAUCUGUCAAUCAGCAAGAAAGAAUACUAUUUUUCUUCACUGUUAAGUGUGACUCAGCUUUCAAAGUCUUCACAGGAAAUAAGGAUGAGUAGGAAGGAAAAGGUCAACAACCUUGCUUGGGCUCAAAGGGUAGAACAGUUAGUCGUUGGGGAAAAGAAGGUAUACCAGUGAAGGCCACUGUGUCAUAUUUAUGACAGGAGGAGAGCUAAUGGUUGUCUGUAAGAGGAUCUGUGAACUCAACUGAGAAGUCACUUCCUAAGGGACCACUUACGCGACAACGUUUUCCCUGAAAAUGGAAAACAAAAGUCUUUUUUGGCGCAUUUGUUUAUACAACAGUAGAGUUUCAGAGGCUUAAAACAUUUGAAAAGGGGGCCUAAGAUUGGAAGUUUUGGAAAACAACACAGUUAUUGUUUCCAUGUAAACACAAAAGACAUUUGUCUGUGGGGGGAAAGAAAGGACAAGCGCGUGCAUGUUGAAAAUUGAUCAGUAAAUGCAGUAAAUGUGUGUGUCAUAGCUCAAAAAUUUCUCUUGAGGUUAUUUGUUUCUGGUUGAAGAUUGAUUUGGUGGUGUAAUCGAGUUUAG